This is a long non-coding RNA of Triticum dicoccoides, 331 nucleotides long. RefSeq lists it as uncharacterized. NCBI's taxonomy places the organism in Eukaryota, Viridiplantae, Streptophyta, Magnoliopsida, Poales, Poaceae. The record is from RefSeq and is a predicted model, not a curated record. The transcript has 3 exons.
UCAUAGUUCCCUUUUUGUUACUUUGUUAGUGCAUUCAGAGUAUGGUAUGUGUUCCAUAAACCAUGGGAGUGGAGGGGCAAUGGCGCAGGGUGAGGAGCGGCUGUCGUAGGCCCUCGAUGUGGCGCUCCCCCGUCAGUCCUUUGCCAUGAGGGACGCGACCUGCUACUCGCACCGCUGCUCCAGAUAUGCUUGAUCUCAUGAGCCUGUGGAAUCCAGUGAUAUGGAAAAUGUAUUUGAAUUGUCUGGAGGGGGCAAAGGCGCAAGGCGAGGAGCGCCCGUCGCAGGCACUUGAUGUGGCACUCCCCCGUCAGUCCUUUGCUAUGAGGGAUGC